This 518-nucleotide long non-coding RNA is filed under the name Homo sapiens (human). Its description in RNAcentral is "HSALNT0291924". Lineage: Eukaryota; Metazoa; Chordata; Mammalia; Primates; Hominidae. The record is from RNAcentral.
UCCGCCCUCGGCCCCGGCCCCCGCUCCGAGCUCCCUUAGCUCUAAGCGGUUCCGGAAGCUCCCGCCUUUCUGGACACGCCCCUGCCUCCCCCACAGGAUUCCGACUCUCUCCCGGCUCGUCGAGGGCUUGACAUUUUACCGGGGGGUGGCCCAGAAAAACCUCGUAGAGAUGCCAUGGCAACAAAGGGCCUUGUGCUCACUCUAGCAGAGCGUCCUGCCUUUGUCUGUGAUCCAGCCUGGUGCGUCAGUCUUUGCAAACAAAAGAUGUGACCACCCGGCCGCCUAUCCCUGCCCCCACCAAAGCAGUAAUGGAGGCUGAGGCCUCUCCAGUUGAGCCGAGCCAGGAGAGCAGCAGACAGUUCUGGAGGCUGGGAACCAAGAUCAAAGGAUGGGAAGAUUCGGUGUCUGGUGAGGGCCUGCUUCCUGGUUCAUUGACUGUCUUCUUGCUGUGACCUCACUUGGCAGAAAGAGGGCUAGAGAGUUCUCUGGGGGCCAGGCACUGUGGCUCACACCUGUAA